RNAcentral lists this ribosomal RNA (467 nucleotides) under uncultured bacterium. RNAcentral describes it as "partial 16S ribosomal RNA". It matches the Rfam family "Bacterial small subunit ribosomal RNA", at positions 28 to 507 of the family's 1533-position model. The record is from RNAcentral.
GACGAACGCUGGCGGCGUGCUUAACACAUGCAAGUCGAACGGAAAGGCCUCUUUCGGGGGGUACUCGAGUGGCGAACGGGUGAGUAACACGUGAGUAACCUGCCCUUGACUUUGGGAUAACUUCAGGAAACUGGGGCUAAUACCGGAUAGGAGCUCCUGCUGCAUGGUGGGGGUUGGAAAGUUUCGGCGGUUGGGGAUGGACUCGCGGCUUAUCAGCUUGUUGGUGGGGUAGUGGCUUACCCAGGCUUUGACGGGUAGCCGGCCUGGGAGGGUGACCGGCCACAUUGGGACUGAGAUACGGCCCAGACUCCUACGGGAGGCAGCAGUGGGGAAUAUUGCACAAUGGGUGGAAGCCUGAUGCAGCAACGCCGUGUGCGGGAUGACGGCCUUCGGGUUGUAAACCGCUUUCGCUCAUGACGAAGCUUUGUGUGACGGUAGUGGGUAAAGAAGCACCGGCUAACUACGUG